Molecule: ribosomal RNA, 119 nt
Filed under: Triticum aestivum (bread wheat)
Lineage: Eukaryota; Viridiplantae; Streptophyta; Magnoliopsida; Poales; Poaceae
Source: RNAcentral
GGAUGCGAUCAUACCAGCACUAAAGCACCGGAUCCCAUCAAAACUCCGUAGUUAAGCGUGCUUGGGCGAGAGUAGUACUAGGAUGGGUGACCUCCUAGAAAAUCCUCGUGGUGCAUUCC